UUCUACAUUUUCUAGCAAAUCUGUUACAACAAGUUUUGCAGGUGCAGUAAUCCAUGACCCUGACUGUUGCAAUUGAAAUGAGCUUUGCUGAAAGUACUUGGUCUGAUAAUUAGAAACAUACUGUAUGUUGCAGAUAGCCAUUUUCUUUAUUUUUCCUGAAAUAUUAUUAUUCCAGUCCUGUAUUCAGUUUGGUUUCAUUGAAACAAAAGCUUACGACCCACCACAGUUGCUGCAAUGACUUUCUGAAGAUGAGCAGAGGGCCAGUAUCUUUAGGCUUGGUGUGAUCUUAAAUUUCUGCACUGUGCAUGUGAAUUAUUCUGAUAGUGACCAGUCCACACAUGAGAAUGGAAUGAAUCGGAUUUGUAGUCAGUCCUCCUGUAUUACUAAGAAACCCUCAGCUUUAGGUCUUUAGGACUAUAGACUGAGGAAUCUUUUGCCUUUGGGUUAAAAGUUAACCACUUUACUGGUAAGGAACGCAAUAACCAACACAUCAGUAGAGUGGCUUGACUGCUACUACGUUCAAGGCAUCUUAAAUAUUCCUUUAAUAGUUUUGUGAAUACUAGGUGGAGAUAAGCUAACAGAAGGACUGAUGAGGCCUUUUAAUGUACAGAAACAAUUCGAAGUACUUGUUUUUAUUGGUAAGGGCUUUAAUAAUAUAUUUAAAUUUAUAAAGUAACAUGGUUUUGGGAGAAGGAAAUAACCAGGCAUUUAAGUCCACAGGUCUCUUCAUCACUGCUCAGAAAACGAAAGUGUCAAUACAAUAUUCACAUCUAGGUUAAGCCUUCAUUUUCUAAAAUUGUUCAAGAGUCUGUCCUAACUAAAUCAGUAGACUAGUCUGUAAGAUUAGAAAAAGUUUCAGGGUUUUCAUUGAGCUGCUAGCUUUACUAGUUUCCGUCAGUUUCACAGGCUUAAGCAGAGUCUGCAUGUGUCAUAAUCGUUGAUUAUGUAAUUGCUGAUGCGUGGUAAUGUGAAGUGUGAGUUUUUGAAUAUGAGGACUGACCACCUCGUCCUCAUGGCUCCUGACAACAACACAGAAGAAAUUUGAGAAACUACUAAAUCAAGAUGAGUCUGGUACCAGGAAUGGAGUUAAAUGAAGCAACUGCCCGAAGUCAAGAUCUGAUUCCCUGUACAACCUGUGGAAGACGCUUCGCCCAAGAUGUCCUGCUGAGACACAAUCCAAUAUGCAAGAAAGUCUUCAACAAGAAGCGCAAGCCCUUCAACUCUUCGAAACAGAGACUGCAGGGAACAGAAAUCACCACUGUGAGGAGGCAGCUCCCACAAAAGAAUCAGCCACAGAAAAAAUCUAACUGGAGGCAGCACCAUGAGGAUUUUAUUAAUGCUAUUAGAUCAGCCAAGCAAGUCACAAAAGCUCUGAAGGAGGGCCGCCCCCUUCCACCUCCUCCACCACCAAGCAUCAAUCCAGACUAUAUUCAGUGCCCACACUGCUCAAGAAGAUUUAAUGAGGCUGCAGCACAGAGGCACAUAAAGUUUUGUGAAGAACAAGCUAUCCGCCGUGCCUUCGCCGCUAAGACCACCAGACAGGCUUUGGUAAGGCAACACAGUCACACUUGUCUUGUCCUGGAGGCAGAUUUGCCAAUCUGUAAUUUAUGGGCAAGCAACCAGUGGCUCAGAGGAAACCCCCAACCUUAACACCUACUGUGUUAUCACUUCAGAAGAGAGUACAAGAAGGUGCCCAUACAGACAAACCUAAGCCAGAGACCUCUCCAGGAAUACUGCAGAAAACCAGAAAAGCUUCAGAUGUACCUCCUGGAAAAAAGGCUUCAGGAGAGUCUGGCUACAGGACAAACUGUUGACAGUACCCAGUGGUCUCAUCUGGUGUUCUCCACUCCCCAGAUCGCAAAUGAGCAACAGAAGAUAACAGUGGCUGGUCUGCAAGGCUGUGUUAUGGUUUUCUUCUGAAGCACUACAGAAGACCUUAAACAACACAAUUUUCCAGCACCUCUUCCACCCCAAGUGCUACAGCUGCCACAUUCAAUAAAAUAAGCAAACUGAAAUCCACCAUUUUUCCCCUUGAUCCCCUGUUUACUUGUGUCAGCUGCCAAAAUUUAAUUAAAUGAUUGCGUCUGUGGGGAUGGAUGUUGCCCAUGGUUCAUUCAAUGCUUUUAACAAAAUGUAGGAAGAUCCAGAAUCAUAUGACUUUUUCCCCUAAUGUUUUGCUUGAUACAUUGAACAAAAUGAAGGAACAUUUUUUGAAUUUUGUGUAUAUAUUUAAUAGAAUCUCCCAGUAAACAACAAAUGAUAGUGAUUUGUAAGUGAUAAAUGCCAUGUAUGCUGUGCAUCAGCUUCAAAGCACUUCAAGUGCAGACUAAAACCAAAUCUCAUUCUUAUCACAGAAACAUAGAAUGGUUUGGGUUGGAAGGGACAUUCAAAGGUCAUCUAGUCCAACUCCCCCUGCCAUGAGCAGGGACAUCUUCAACCAGAUCAGGUUUCUCAGAGCCCUGUCCAGCCUGGCCUGGGAUGUCUCCAGGGAUGGGGCAUCUACCACCUCUCUGGGCAACCUGGGCCAGUGUUUCACCACCCUCAGUGGUGAAAUUUCUUCCUCAUAUCCAGCCUGCAUCUCCCCUCUGUUAAUUUAAAACCAUUACCCCUCAUCCUAUCACAACAGGUCCUGCUAAAAUGUUUCUCCCCAUCUUUCUUGUCAGCCCCUUUAGGUUCUAGAGGUCUGCAAUAAGGUCUUCCCAGACCCUUCUCCAGGCUGAACAACCCCUUUCAGCCUGUCCUCAUAGGAGAGAUGCUCCAGCCUUCUGCUCAUGGCCGUUCUUCAGAGUCAGCUCUUCACACUCCAUCCACCUCUUGAUGUAGCCAGCCACCCCUCCACCCUUCCUUCCUCACCUGUGCUUUCUGAACAGCCUGUAGCCAUCGAUCACUGCACUCCAGUCAUGGGAUUUGUCCCACCAAGUUUCAAUAAUGGCAACCAAGUCGUAGCUUUCUAGCAGCAUGGUGGCUUCCAACUCCUCCUGUUUGUUUCCUAUGCUGUGUGCAUUGGUGUAGAGGCACUUCAGCUGAGCUGUUGGUCACGUCACCUUCUUAGAGGAACACCCCUUAGUUCCUUUGAGUUAUUUCAUUGGUGUUUCCUUGUUGGCUUGUAUUACUCUCCCACUAAAAACCUCAAUUGCUUUUACAAAUUGAUGGCUAAGAUAGAAAUAUUGUGGAGGCGUAUCCUUUUCUUAUUUUUUUGGCCAUCUGAUUUAUUACCUUGGAUCACUUUGCAUAAACUUUCAAUGUUGCACUAUGUUGGGGUUGUUUGUUUGAUUUUUUUGAUUUUUUUUUUUUUUUAGCUCAACAAAUCUUUCAAUUAUAAUCCAUACGGAAUGUUCUUGCAUAGUAAAUGUUUAUAGAGUAAAUGAAGAUGAAAAGUAGUUGGAAACAGCAAUAAUAAAUAUCAGACUUUACAAAGUGUAAUUAAACUCUACUCUAGGCUGUAGCUAAUGGUGUUUAGAUAUAGAAAGGAUAACACUGAAGCAAGUGUAACUCCUACAGCUAGACUGUCUUAGAAACAAUGCACAUAAAAUCAGCCCAAAUAUAUUAAAAUGGAGCUUAUUGGCCUUUUUUUCAAACCAGGAAGGAGGUCCAGGGCAGGGGCAGGAGGGAGAACCAAACCAACCCCAUGCCAAACUGUCUUGUUCAAUGUUAUCACAGCUGUUUUCUUUUAUACCUUAGUAAAUGAACCCUCAAAAGUUAAAGCAAAUGUUGUGUUUGGGGUCCCCCCCCUUAUUUCUCUGUGUGUAGAGCUGUUUGGUAUGGAUUCAACAGUUCAUUUUUCAGUGCCCUACAGAAAACAUAACUAUAGGGACAGGAAUGAUGUAUUCAAGAAGAGUACUUUAAAAUUCUGCUAGCAGAAAAAUGAAUCAGUCAUUAAUAUAUGGAACUUACCAUCCUAUUUUAGACUGGCUGGGAAAAAACUCUUGAAAAUUAGCAACAACUCAUUGGUUAAGAAAAUAGAGAGUCCCAACAGGAACAGUCGGUAAAUAAAACCAAAGUAAAAUUAAAUGAAACAUGGCUUCUGAUAGGGGGUGGGAACAGUGCAGGAGUGUAGUUUUAGCUCCUCAACAUUUUUUCAGCAGGUUUACAUGAUUUCUUU
Molecule: RNA transcript, 4102 nt
Organism: Columba livia (rock pigeon)
Lineage: Eukaryota; Metazoa; Chordata; Aves; Columbiformes; Columbidae
Gene: ZC2HC1B
Gene name: zinc finger C2HC-type containing 1B
Exons: 9
Source: RefSeq, a predicted model, not a curated record